Molecule: transfer RNA, 65 nt
Filed under: Prunus serrulata
Lineage: Eukaryota; Viridiplantae; Streptophyta; Magnoliopsida; Rosales; Rosaceae
Also listed under: 6 other names
Description: tRNA-Tyr
Rfam family: tRNA
About the family: Transfer RNA (tRNA) molecules are approximately 80 nucleotides in length.
Source: RNAcentral
GCCGCAACGGAACAACGGAAGUUCACUGGGUAACGGGGACGUAGGUUCGAAUCCUAUUUGCGGCU